UCCAGACUCCUACGGGAGGCAGCAGUGGGGAAUAUUGGGCAAUGGGCGCAAGCCUGACCCAGCAAUGCCGCGUGAAGGAAGAAGGCCUUCGGGUUGUAAACUUCUUUUAUCAGGGACGAAGGAUGUGACGGUACCUGAUGAAUAAGCUCCAGCUAACUACGUGCCAGCAGCCGCGGUAAUACGGAGGAUGCGAGCGUUAUCCGGAUUUAUUGGGUUUAAAGGGUGCGCAGGCGGCACGGCAAGCCGGCGGUCAAACCGCGGGGCUAAACCCCGCCCAGCCGUCGGAACUGCCGGGCUAGAGUGGGCGAGAAGUGCGCGGAAUGCGUGGUGUAGCGGUGAAAUGCAUAGAUAUCACGCAGAACUCCGAUUGCGAAGGCAGCGCACCGGCGCCCUACUGACGCUCAGGCACGAAAGCGUGGGUAUCGAACAGGAUUAGAUACCCUUGUA
This 447-nucleotide ribosomal RNA is filed under the name uncultured bacterium. Its description in RNAcentral is "bacterial SSU rRNA". It matches the Rfam family "Bacterial small subunit ribosomal RNA", at positions 330 to 792 of the family's 1533-position model. The record is from RNAcentral.